Molecule: long non-coding RNA, 1173 nt
Filed under: Homo sapiens (human)
Lineage: Eukaryota; Metazoa; Chordata; Mammalia; Primates; Hominidae
Description: HSALNT0363155
Source: RNAcentral
CUGGCCCUCUUCCCCUCCCCCUCCUCCCGCAGCUCCUCCCAGUGCCCCCAGCCUCAGCGGCGCUGGUGCUCCUAGCUCAGAACCUGCCAGGCCUGGCUGCUGGGGGCACCUGUGCCCGGCAGCCCCCAUUUGCUUCCACCUGCCACAGACUCUGCACCAUCCAGAAGGCCCAGUCUCUCUCCUGGAGGCCCUUCCCAGCCCACCCUGCGCAGCUGGCCUCGCCCCCACCCCCCUCUCGGACCCAUGCCCAUGAGCUGCUCGUCACACAGCCCUCCCUACCCUGGCUGAGGCUGGUGUCUCCACAGGGCUGUCUUUCAGGACACAGUUCACAUCUCCUUCCUGAACUUGGGAUGUGUGUAACAGGAAGCAAACACAACGCCAGAGAAAAAAUCAGCCACACCCGGAUCUUAGAGAUGUGGACAUGUUGGCCGGUAGAUGAAAAACGCAGUCAUAGAAAUCAUAAGCAAUCACCAACGAGCUGAGUGCUACAAAACAGAAGUGGAGGAGGGAGACAGAAGAAGAGCCCACUGUCCCCUUCCUGGAAUGACACUCCCUCGUGGUGCCCUACUCCUUCCAAGAUAAAGAAGAGGCACUCCAGGUUUGUCUAAGACCCUGCACACCCAUCCUGGCUGACACCAGCCACCUCAUCUUCCACUAUCCGCCCCCCAGCUUCUGUCCCCCACUCUAACCAAGAAUUCCUGAGCCUCAAAGCCAAGGCUGUUUCACGUCACAGCAACUGUGAGCUUCUGCUGUCUGCAAGAACAUCCCUCCUGCCCCUCCAAGACCCAGGUCAAGAGGCACCUCCCUGAGGAAGCUGAUGUCAAAAUCGACUUGGCCCUCUGUCUUGGGGUCACGAGGUAAUGCCUGCUUCAGCAAGAUCUUGCUAAGCCAUAACUGUCUAGGUGCCCAGCCCCCAUGCUGGAAUUUCAGCUUUGCCAGGGCGAGAUCCAGCAGGGCCCGAUUCACUUCUGGUCCCUGGUGCCCUAAACAGCACCUGGCACACAGUGGACUCCCAGCCAUAUCCCCCGAACUGUGCACAGCCACCAGGCAUGGCUGAGCGGGUUAUUCCAUCAGCUUUGUGGAAUAUCGUGCAGCUGUUAAAACCACAAUUAUGAAGAUGAUUUUUGUUUGUUUUUUAGGGACAAGGUUGCCCAGGCUGGAGUGUAGUGGCAC